RNAcentral lists this ribosomal RNA (468 nucleotides) under uncultured bacterium. Its description in RNAcentral is "partial 16S ribosomal RNA". It matches the Rfam family "Bacterial small subunit ribosomal RNA", at positions 28 to 507 of the family's 1533-position model. The record is from RNAcentral.
GAUGAACGCUGGCGGCGUGCUUAACACAUGCCAGUCGAACGGAAAGGCCCAAGCUUGCUUGGGUACUCGAGUGGCGAACGGGUGAGUAACACGUGGGUGAUCUGCCCUGCACUUCGGGAUAAGCCUGGGAAACUGGGUCUAAUACCGGAUAGGACCACUUCUUGGAUGUUGUGGUGGACAGUUUUCUCGGUGUGGGAUGAGCUCGCGGCCUAUCAGCUUGUUGGUGGGGUAAUGGCCUACCAAGGCGUCGACGGGUAGCCGGCCUGAGAGGGUGUACGGCCACAUUGGGACUGAGAUACGGCCCAGACUCCUACGGGAGGCAGCAGUGGGGAAUAUUGCACAAUGGGCGCAAGCCUGAUGCAGCGACGCCGCGUGGGGGAUGACGGCCUUCGGGUUGUAAACUCCUUUCGCUAGGGACGAAGCGUUUUUGUGACGGUACCUGGAGAAGAAGCACCGGCUAACUACGUG